GAAGAACGCGCUUCUAAGAGCGAGAGGAUUGGGGUUGUCGAGGAAACAACCGAGUCCUAACUCUGCCAAUAUUGGUCGAGAUGGGAAACUUGUUAUCUCCCGAUGCCACCUAAUCCUUUGGUUCUUAAGGGCUUCUUCCUCUU
RNAcentral lists this microRNA precursor (143 nucleotides) under Asparagus officinalis (garden asparagus). RNAcentral describes it as "miR2118a stem-loop (aof-MIR2118a)". The record is from miRBase by way of RNAcentral. Lineage: Eukaryota; Viridiplantae; Streptophyta; Magnoliopsida; Asparagales; Asparagaceae.